This 81-nucleotide transfer RNA is filed under the name Cyanophora paradoxa. RNAcentral's name for it is "tRNA-Leu". It matches the Rfam family "tRNA". Rfam says of the family: Transfer RNA (tRNA) molecules are approximately 80 nucleotides in length. The record is from RNAcentral. Lineage: Eukaryota; Glaucocystophyceae; Cyanophorales; Cyanophoraceae.
ACAGGUAUGAUGAAAUUGGUAGACAUGUUUGAUUUAGGCUCAAGUGGUUAAACCAUGCAGGUUCGAGUCCUGCUACCUGUA